GUCCACGCCGUAAACGUUGGGCGCUAGGUGUGGGGCUCAUUCCACGAGUUCCGUGCCACAGCUAACGCAUUAAGCGCCCCGCCUGGGGAGUACGGCCGCAAGGCUAAAACUCAAAGGAAUUGACGGGGGCCCGCACAAGCGGCGGAGCAUGUUGCUUAAUUCGAUGCAACGCGAAGAACCUUACCUAGGCUUGACAUGCACGGAAAUCUUUCAGAGAUGGAAGGUCCGUAAGGGCCGUGCACAGGUGGUGCAUGGUUGUCGU
RNAcentral lists this ribosomal RNA (262 nucleotides) under uncultured bacterium. RNAcentral's name for it is "partial 16S ribosomal RNA". It matches the Rfam family "Bacterial small subunit ribosomal RNA", at positions 793 to 1055 of the family's 1533-position model. The record is from RNAcentral.